GACUGCAGGCUGCAACUCGCCUGCACGAAGUUGGAAUUGCUAGUAAUCGCGGACCAGCAUGCCGCGGUGAAUACGUUCCCGGGCCUUGUACACACCGCCCGUCACACCAUGGGAGUUGGUAACACCCGAAGUCAGUAGCCUAACCGCAAGGAGGGCGCUGCCGAAGGUGGGAUCGAUGACUGGGGUGAAGUCGUAACAAGGUACC
This 205-nucleotide ribosomal RNA is filed under the name uncultured bacterium. RNAcentral describes it as "partial 16S ribosomal RNA". It matches the Rfam family "Bacterial small subunit ribosomal RNA", at positions 1296 to 1500 of the family's 1533-position model. The record is from RNAcentral.